Molecule: ribosomal RNA, 477 nt
Filed under: uncultured bacterium
Lineage: Bacteria
Description: partial 16S ribosomal RNA
Rfam family: Bacterial small subunit ribosomal RNA
Source: RNAcentral
ACUCAAAUGAAUAGACGGGGGCCCGCACAAGCAGCGGAGCGUGUGGUUUAAUUCGACGCAACGCGCAGAACCUUACCCAGAUUUGACUUGCACCUGCACGCCCGAGAAAUCGGGUCGCCUUCGAGGGUGGUGCACAGAUGCUGCAUGGCUGUCGUCAGCUCGUGUCGUGAGAUGUUGGGUUAAGUCCCGCAACGAGCGCAACCCCCGCGGCCAGUUACUUGUGUCUGGCCGGACAGCCCUUCGGGGAGGAAGGCGGGGAUGACGUCAAGUCCGCAUGGCUCUUACGUCUGGGGCGACACACACGCUACAAUGACGCCGACAGAGCGCAGCGACCUUGCAAGAGGAAGCGAAUCGCUAAACGGCGUCUCAGUGCAGAUCGGGGGCUGCAACUCGCCCCCGUGAAGGCGGAGUUGCUAGUAACCGCGUAUCAGCCACGGCGCGGUGAAUACGUACCCGGGCCUUGUACACACCGCCCGU